RNAcentral lists this transfer RNA (76 nucleotides) under Deltaproteobacteria bacterium. RNAcentral describes it as "tRNA-Ala". It matches the Rfam family "tRNA". Rfam says of the family: Transfer RNA (tRNA) molecules are approximately 80 nucleotides in length. Their secondary structure includes four short double-helical elements and three loops (D, anti-codon, and T loops). The record is from RNAcentral. Lineage: Bacteria; Pseudomonadati; Myxococcota; Myxococcia.
GGGGACGUAGCUCAGCUGGGAGAGCGCUGCCUUCGCAAGGCAGAGGUCGGGAGUUCGAUCCUCCUCGUCUCCACCA